AAAACUUUCAACAACGGAUCUCUUGGUUCUGGCAUCGAUGAAGAACGCAGCGAAAUGCGAAAAGUAAUGUGAAUUGCAGAAUUCAGUGAAUCAUCGAAUCUUUGAACGCACAUUGCGCCCCACGGUACUCCGUGGGGCAUGCCUGUUCGAGCGUCAUUG
Molecule: ribosomal RNA, 159 nt
Filed under: Megalaria alleniae
Lineage: Eukaryota; Fungi; Ascomycota; Lecanoromycetes; Lecanorales; Megalariaceae
Description: Megalaria allenae 5.8S ribosomal RNA
Rfam family: 5.8S ribosomal RNA
About the family: 5.8S ribosomal RNA (5.8S rRNA) is a component of the large subunit of the eukaryotic ribosome. It is transcribed by RNA polymerase I as part of the 45S precursor that also contains 18S and 28S rRNA.
Source: RNAcentral